Molecule: long non-coding RNA, 12751 nt
Organism: Brassica rapa (field mustard)
Lineage: Eukaryota; Viridiplantae; Streptophyta; Magnoliopsida; Brassicales; Brassicaceae
Source: RefSeq, a predicted model, not a curated record
GAGUUGAGGUCGUAUUUGGCACUGAUCAAUUGUUCGGGUCGUAUUUGGCACGACUGAAAUAGUUAUGGUCGAAAUUGGCACUUUUCCCGCUUUUCUUAAAAUAUUUUAUCAAAUACUCACUUCAAGAUGUGCUUCUCUUCUUUUUUAAUUCAUUUAGUACUAUAAAGAAAAGAGCCAAACCUGUACUUGAUUAAAAGAAAGAAGAAAUAGACAUAAACCUUUUUCCUUGACUGAAGAAAUAGGCAAAUGUCUUCGUCAGGAGACGAUGAGGUGCACCUGGAUUUGGGAAAUUAUGGUGUAUUUUCACUAGAUGUUAGUUCAGAAAAUGAAUUUGUUCACUAUAAGUUAUCGUGUGUUAAUUGAUAUGAUGAUUCAAAUGUUUUAUGUGGUAAGUACAUAUUUUUAGGGUUUAAUUAUUCGGAGAGCAUUAUUGAUACAAAAGAAAAAAAAUGAAACUAAUAAGUAAAUCACAAGAGGACAAAAGAAAGAAAGAACUGAAGAGAGAACAGCUUAAGUGGUGUGGUUAUAUAUAGAAAGAAUUACACUCAAAGGCAGUUUUAAGUUUAUUAUAACACAAUAAGUCACUUUCUUCUACCAAGACACUUUCUUCUAACUGCUUUCUUUCUUUCUAAAUAGAUUAGUCACUUCAUAACUAACCAGCUGAGUAACCAAACUAUUAUAUUAGCGGGAAUUAACCUCCAUCACACAUCUCUCUUCCCACUCAAUGGUUCAGAUUAAAUCUAAUACUUUUGACAAGAUUUAUCUCUGUUUCAUUUCCUGGCCACUGGAUUUGCUUUUGGUACUUUAACUUUUAACGAUUCAGAUUAAUCAGCCACAUUCAUCAUCUCCUUUUUUUUGUCGUCGUAUUUCUUCUGAAAAUUGUAAUGGGCAUUCUUCAUCAUCUCCUUUCUUCACUGGCGUCUCCACCGCUAUUCUCAGCGAAGUGGGUCAGUCGUUAUACCCUAGAAUAAGAUUCAAAAUCCUCUCUUUCUAUUGAUCUCUCUAAGCAAAGUGAGUGAUUUCUUAUUUGUUUUGGGUCAGCAAUGAAUCUACUCCACAUCAAUCAUCAAUAACAUAGCUUUCUGUUUCAGAUCCAACCCCCACCUUCGUCGGCUUCUCAGAUUAUCACCAUAUUCCUCCACCACUCUCCAUCCUUCUGACGCUGCCGCAGUUGAUAUGGUAAGAACCAUCUUUUUCCCAUUGUAAGUUUCCUUGAAAGUCUGAUUCUUCUCUACGAAAAUUUCACAAAGUCUUAGCAAUCUCAACGUAUUCCAUAUAGUCAAUUUUAAAACUUUGAACCAAUCAUUGUUCUAAUUUUGAACCAAACGUUAUUCAUCCAACUUUAAAAAAUUUUGUAAGCCUUAUAAAGACGAGAUUUUGUUAUUGUCGCUAAGGUGGAGAGGAAGUUAGAAGUUUGGAUACUCUUGAGAUUUUUCAAAUUGGUCUGUAAAAAUAUGUGUAUUAUAGAUAUUUUUUGUUUUGUUUUCGUGGAUGGGUAGAGAAGUUGUUGACGUGCGUAUGAACAAAGAUUGACAUUGUUCCCUUUGUUAUUUCCAUUUAGUUAACUCCACAUGAACAUGUAGAAGAGAAGAUUCCUAUCUUCCUAUGGCCUCUUGAUGGGAAAUAUUGAGAAUCAACCAAGUCUAUAGACGAGCUCAUGUACAGUGUACACAACCCGCCAAGUGUUACUGAUCAAUGUGUACAUCAAAACCAUUGUACAUGUGUACACGUAACUUUAAUAUAUUACAUUUUCAGUUUACAUUGUUGUUCGAUUCAGAAACAAAUACAAGUGGACACUCCAUGGUCAAUUUUCUGUUUUUGUGAUGUUCCAACAAAAUGUCAUUUUGCUUCUUCUUUUUAAAAACUUUUAAUUGCAUGAGAAGUUCAAAGUUUGAGAUGACUCGUUUCAAAAAUAAUUGUUGCAUUCACAGGGAUCAUGACAUUAGUGAAUUCUUGGACCAACUAUAGUUAACGGUUUCUUAACCAUCUAAACAAAACUCAUUUCUAAAUUUUCUACAACAACGUUCAGUAGGAUGUCCAUGUGUACAUUUGCCUCAUAGUGUACAUGUGUACAUUUUGCCUCACAUUUGCCUCAAAGUGUACAUGCAUCAUUGAGUUCAGACUUGUCUUCGAAUGUAUGUUGAAUAACAUAAAACUCAUUUCACAUGUAUAUUCUUGAUUCUUAUUAUUGAAAUUGAUAAUAAUCGUAUAUUACAUCAUUAGAUUUAUGGUAAAACACAAACUAAACGUUAGGCACAAAAGUUUGAUAAAAACUAAGGUCCACCAUGAUUAUCAAUAAGAACCAUAUGUAUAGUGCAACAGAUAUGUACACGAUGACACUAAUUAGUUUUAGACUUACUUUUUAUUUUAAAUCAAAUUAAAAUAUUUAGCUACAGAAAAUUACUUUCAUAAGAAUACAGAAAAGUAUCAAAAGAAUAUACGAAAAUAAAAUUACAAGAAUUCGAUAUUUUGUUCAUUAUGAUGCUUUUUAAUUGAGAAAGGGUUAUGUUUAUAUUAUACUUAGUGGGACGUUAAUUAUGGCAUAUACAUAAUUAGAAUAAAAUCACAUGACGAUUAUAUACAAAAUGUUUACGAGGUUCUAAGAGAGUCUACAUACAUAUCCACAAUAUUGCUCAACACUUUUGACUUGCAUCGAUCUAGUUACUUUCAUGUUCCUCCAAUCACUUUGGAGAUAUAUAAAAAAUAAUUGAUAACUAGAGAGGAGCGCGGUGUCCAUGAGUCAUGACCUCGUCGUCUUCCACAAACUCAUGUGUGUCCAUAUGCAUGAAAACAGAAUUUAUAAGUACACGAACUAUAAAAAGGCCGUUAAGUUUAUUGUAAAUUCAUUGGUAAUUAGUUGACUUUACGUACUUACGACAACAUAAGUUUCUCCAAUCUCUUGGAGUUGGAACUACAAGUCUACAAAAGCCGUUAUUGACCCUUCGCCAUGUUCAAAGGUUCUUCUCUUUGGAGUAUAUUCAAUUUAGAAAACUGUUUUUUUUUUGGGACAAAAAAAAGUGCGUUGCUUAUGCAAAUGGCUCAGUGGCGAAUUUUCCAAGAAUUUUGACCUAAUUAGAGAAAUUUUAGCUCACAUCAUGUUCCACUCUUUGUCGGAAUUAGUCUCAAACUACUACUUAAAGGUAAACUUAGGUUUAUUCGCUUAUAAAUACAACAUGCAAACGAAUCAUAAUUUAAUGAAACUAGCUAGUCCAAAUACAAAUACAAUUUUGGAAGAAUAAUCGUGAUUUCAUAUAAAGUAGCCAUUGCAUCACUCCAAUUUUCAAAGAAAAUUAUACUUUAUUUUGUAGCUUCUUUUUUUUUCUUCUAAUGGUCAUAAAGAAAAUCUGCCUGCGUAUCUUUUUGCUUUAUGAUUAAUUAGACACUAGGUGGUUGUCCGCGAAUUCGCGGAUAUAAAUAUUGUAUAAAAAUAUACAUUAAGUAUAAAAUUUCGAAAAAUUUCCAUAAAUUUGAUGCAAAAAUAUCUGAUAAAUGUUUAGUAAUAACAAAUGUUUAUGAAAUUAUAUAUGUAAAUAUCAUAUUUACUUCUCCUAUUCUUAUUUUUUAAUACAUAUUAUAAAAUAAAUAAACCAAAAAUCCAUCUUACACUACAAAAAAAGGUAUGUAUUGUAUCACUUAAAUGGAAUCACAUAAAUAAAUGAUGUUAUUUUAAAUCACUUAUUUGUAAAUGAUACACAUAUAUAUAUAAUUUUAAAUCAGUUCUAAUAAUUGAUAGUAUAAUUAACUAAUUCGACAUCAUUUCAAUAAAAUGAUAUAAACUUUAUUAAUUUGUAUCAUUUAAACAAAAAUGAUAUGAUUCUAUACAUUUAUAUCAAUUAAAUCAUUGAUGUAAUUAUUAUUUUUGGUUAGCAUCACUUAUUAAUAUGAUAUAAAAUUCACAUCAAUAAAAAUUGAUGCGAAAAAAAUAUAUAACUGUGUUUUUCUUUAACGUCAAUUAAGUUAAAAUGAUGUUCUUUUAUUUAAAUUUUGCAUCAGUUAAUACCACUACAAAACUUAAAAAAAAAACAAUUUACUUGAACGAUUACAAAAAUAUCUCACACUUCAAAAUCCAAAGAUUACGGAAGUAGUUACUAUUCUUAUAGCUUUAAUUUAAUUGGAGCUUUAAUUUCUUUUAUAACUCUUCACUUCAAAAAUUAAGCAUCUUCGUCUUUUUGUUGUGAAUGCUCAUUCAGGGGUUCUUCUUCCUCUUUUAGUUUCUCAAACUUUCUUGUCUUAUGAGUCAUAAUGAUGGGUAUUGUUCUUAUGCAGGGUUGCUAUUUAGAUUCGGGGAAAAUUUUCUGAAGAAGUAUAUCUUUCUUUUUUUCUUCUUCAUCUUUUUUUUUCAUUUGUUGAAAAAUUAUACUUACAUAUUUUUGGUAGAAUGGUUUUUCUUUGUUAGGAAACAGAACGUCUCAAGACAUAAGAGAGAUGCGUCUACUCAAAAUCUAAAAGUAAGUAAAACUCUAAAGAAAUAGCAGUUGAUGAAGAAUUUUCUGAUGAAUCUCCUCCACUUCACUGCUAAAUCGAUUCAUUUUCACACCAUAAACAGAGACAUUAGAGAUAAAAACAUAGAUACAAGGAAUGAGGAUAAAAAGAAGAAGAAUUUCGAUUGAUGGACGCAUGAAGCUCUUUAUGGUAAAUUUCACCUAACUGUUUUACAAAUAUUUUCUAUGGUUCUUUGAAUUCCUCUUCUUCCAUCUUGUUUAAUGUUUCUCUCUAUAUUUGUUCUUUAGUUUUUUUCUUCUUCGUAAGAUUUAUUGUAUUUCAAUUAAAAAUUAAUGAAUAUUUAAUUUAUUUAUCCACUGAUAUUAUUUAACGUCAAUUAUGUACAAAUAAAAAAAUAAAACGUAAUUAUAAACAAUAAAAUAUUAAAAUAAUUUUGAUGUUUUGAUAUUAAUUUAAUUUCAGUUAUUAAUAAAUAAUUAAAAUCAGUUGUUUCAAUUGAUGUUAAUACUUACAUCAUUCAGAAAAACUGAUUUAAUUUUGGUAUCAUUUUGUAUAAUUGAUGCAUAUUAGUAUCACUUACAAUUAAUGACAUAAAUAUUAAUUAUUUUUGUAUCAUUUAUCUAUAUAAUGAUGAAAAUCAUUUGAAUCAUCAAUUUCCGAGUCAUUUAUCUAAGCGAUGUAAAAUUCUUUUACAUCAUUUAAAACUAAUGCAAAUAUUUAAAUUAAGUGAUGUUAAAUGACUAUUUUUUUGUAGUGCUAUAAUUCGUUUCAAUCAUAGUAUUACCUUAUUCACUAAAUUAAUUUAUUUAAAUGAAAAAUAUUUUUUAAUCAAAGUUCUCACAUGUUCCGUUCAAUAUAAUUCGGCUAAUCUUCAAAACCUAAUUAUUUAUAAAGCAUAUAUGAACAAUAUAAGAGAUUAAUAAUAAUAAAAUAUAUGAUUAUAUUUUUAUAUGAAUAUGAAAUCAUUAUAUGGAUUUCUAUAAAUUGUGUUCUAUUAAUUCACCGUCCAAACUAAACUAAAAUAAAUAAAAUUAAAAAUUAUCAACCAAGAAAAUUAUAAAAAAUUUCUUAAGACUUCACAAAUGAUCGACUUGUAAGCCAAAGUCACUUAAGUGAUUUUUCGUUUACUAUAUAUGCGUAUUUAUAUUUUUCGUAAAUGUCUUAUAAAUUCUUAUAAACAAUUUAAAAUUAUGAUAAAAUAAUUUUGUAAGCCAUGAUAAAUAAUUUUAUAAUUUUUUUAGUAAAAGUCUUAUAAGACAUAUAUGGACAUUGUAAUACAUUAAUUAAUACUUAUUAUAAUACUAUGCAAAUAUAGUGUUUUAUAUUAAAAAUUAUUAAAUCAUUAUAUUGAUUUCGAUAAAUUGUGUUCUAUUAAUUAUUUUAUGUUGUAUAUAGAUACAAUAGAAAUUAAUCAAACAUUAUUACACUUUCUAUAAUUUAAAAAAUUAGUUACCAUAAAUUAUUAUUUGUAAUAUCAUUUAGAUUAUUUGGUAAGUGACACUAAUUAGUUUUAGACUUACUUUUUAUUUUAAAUCAAAUUAAAAUAAUUGAAAAUCUCUUAACCAAUCAAGUUAUAACAUUUCGAAGGAACCGGACUUUUGACGAACCAGCCCUUUUUUAUCUUGAUCCUUUCUUAAACUCUCUCUAUCAUUGAUAACUAAACAAAAAAUUACUUAAUUGACUUUUCAUUUAAUAUACAGGAGGAUGAUAUUCUUUAAGGCUGUUUUUGUCGCUUCUGUUGUGGCAUACUUAUCCAAAAUACUACUACAGCUUUUAUAGUUCUGUCGUUCGUACAAUUAUCUCUCUGGCGGCUAGACCUAAUCCCUCGACGAGAGUGGACCUACUCUCCUCACAUUCCUGAGUACGGUUUCCGGGUUUGACACACCCAUUGGCACUGCACCAUCAGAAGAACUCAGGAGAAUAUGGAAUGAAAAGAAAAAAACAAUUAGAAGAACGUGAUGGUAAGUCUCUAAUAUUAUGUGAAGCUGUGCAUCGACGAACACUUGCAAACCUACCAACAACUAAUUAAGUGAUGCCUCUAAGGGAAUGUAAGUGAUAGUUAGCCUUGUAUUUGCAGUGGUAUAGUGUUGUACGAUGCUUUCAUUUUUACCAUGUAUGAGGAUUCAGUUGCAAUGCGUUGCGUGAUAGUAUCUAAAUCGUAUCAGACUAAAACUUUGCAUUUGACUAAUUUGAUUUCUUCUUUUUUUUUGUCACAAGAUUAAUGUGAUUAAGAUUAAAAUUUGAAUUUCUCAAGAAGAUUGUUGUUCAAAGGCCUUGCUAAUUUAUCAUAAAUAAAUCAUUGACGGUCCAUGCGGCCGUGCUAAGAUCUUACCCUACAUCAAGAAUUUUUAACAAAGUAUCAUCUCUCAGAGAUUCCAAUCCAGAUUUCUCAAGCAGAGUCAUGCAAAUUUGGUUCUCUUAAACUCUCCUGCAUUGACGUUUCUCGACGAACUGGCCGUAAUCACCACCAUACGAUCAUUUUCUCCAACUGUUGGACUUCGCCACUAUGGGCUUCAUUUUGAUGGGCUUCACUAAGGACAUACUCUAUCAACAUUCACUUUAGAUUCUAAUCAUGGGAUUAUAUCAGAGUUUUGUAAUGCAACUCUUGCCACUUUUUAAUUUAAAUGCACCAAAAGUUAGCAAAAAGAAAAAAAAAUAGAUUUUUUAACAAUAAUUAAUGUUAAUCAAGAUUUCAUGUAUAUCUCUCCACCAAAAACAGGGUUGCGACAUGUAAUAGAAAGAGACCAAACAUUUUCACGGGAGAAUAGGCAUCGAGGUUACUUGUGUCGUCUGCUCAUUUCUCACAUGCAUGCGUAAAUGUGUGUGGAUGAUGAUUAUGAUAAUGAUAUGAUGAUGGAAUGGGUUUUGAUUUGACAAGACGAGAGUCACCAAGCCAGCGAUUAGAUUGAUAUAUUACUUCAAUUCUUAUCGUCAGUGCUCAGUAGACAACUCUCCAUGUCUUUCUCUUUUAUCAUCCGUAUCGAAAGACAAGUCGAAGAAAUAUUAUAUUCAUGUCUUGGCAUUUGUACGACUGCCAGUACAAGCACUAUUCUGAAAGAAUAUUCUAUAUAGUGAUAUAUAUUUUACAUAUUUACUGGUUCAUAUAUCACUAGCAAUUAUAACUAGAACGGCUUAAGCAGUUUUUGUUUAUCUAUGCAGUAUUGAUUUAUUUGCUUUUUUGAAAACUACGCAGUAUUGAUUUCCGUUGCAAUAUAACUUCGUGCUGAGAGUUGAUUUCGGUUUCUGCUCAAAAUAAUAUUGGGGGAUUAGGAUUCAUAUUUUAAAAUGUUGUCAGGGUUCAAGUUUUUUUUUUGGUAAAAUGUCAGGGUUCAAGUUCUUUGAUAUUCUUUGAUUCUCUAUCCGUGUAAACGGUCUCAGAGUUUUUAGCAUUGAAACUAUUUUUGUUUUAAUUUUGAUGGCUGUUCUUUUAUUUUUAAAACUUUUUUUAAGAGUGUACAAUGGUGCCAAGACUAUAAGUAUUUAGACAAGUUAUGUUUGACGUACAAUAAUAUGAAUCUGGAAUAAGAAAACGAGGGGAGCUCAGAGUUACAGCCAAGAGGCACCGAAACAAGAAACCUGCAUCUGCAAGCAGAAGUCCCAUCUUGUUCCUUUGACUAUUUGCUUCUUCACUCAAAUAAGAUUUUUUUUUUUAAAACUACACAAAGUCCAAUUUUUCAUACGUUAUUGUGUAUAAUUUCAGGUACAACGUUAUUUUUAUUUUUCAAAUUCAAAAAAAAAUUAUUUAUCUGAAAUUUAGAUUUUUUCCCAUGAAUGUUUGUUUAUUUAAACUUAUGAAUUCCUUUUUAUUUUUAGCUCUGAGGAAAACAAUGUCAUUCUUCUACUUGUUUAAUUGUUAUAUAUAAACAUUCAUUUGGAAAGGAUAUAAUACAGAAUUUACUAUAAGUUAUUUUCAGGUUUAGUGGUUAAAAACAUAACAAAUGAAAUGUUAUUGGCAAACCAAAAUAACACACACAAGCACAUAAAAACAAAGUAUAUAUAACUCUCCUUUUUGUUCAAAAAAGAAUAUAUAUAACUCUAUGAUGCAAAACCAAGAGAAAGUAAAUACACCACCGUAUUAAUAAUUCGAUAGUUUCAUGAUAAAGUAUAAUGUUUAUUUGGCCAAGAUCUUAUAAAGGUCAGAAUUAAACCAGAUUUGUUUUAUAAUUUCCUAUUUGAUUACAAUUCACCUCGGAGCAUAAAAUAUUCCAAAGGCAAAUUAAGAUUUUCUUCUUUUUAAGACAGAUUCAGAGCCAAAUUUGAUAGACAGACUUUGUUUCUCCAUAUAUAAAUUGAAUAGAUAAUCACCGGUACAUAUUGGAGAAAAAAAGUUAUACAAAUCUUUGAUUUUCUUAUAUAGCAGAUCUCUGAUUGUUCCUGCCACAAACAUCGUGAUUCUGUAUGAAAUGUCAUUUCAAGCACUUUUAAUUAUCAACCACCAUUCUCCCUAUCAUAAUGCACUCUUACACAUACUCCUAUAUUUACACUUUUAAUACAUAAUCGCAAUAUAAAACUAAAUGCCUGCUUCACCAAAAAAAAAAAAAAAACUUAAUGCCUAAAAAGUCUUAGACGAAAGCUCGUGGUAAUUCUUGGAACAUCCUGUCUUUAUCAGACAUAUCUAUAUAUAAAAGUGACCAACAUGCUCUUAUAGUUAAUUCGAAUUGUUAUCACCUGUCCGAGCAUAAAUUAUUUUGUUUACUAUCAAUCUUUUUUUUUGGAAACUUAUCAAUCUUUUGCAUUAAAAAGUGUUUAUAAACUUGACAUCUUAUUUUUUUUUUCCGAAAUUUUAUGCAAAGUUGCGUUCGUAAUAUUGAUAUAAACACAAUCAGUAUGUAUAUGUAUCCGCUACAUCAAAUAGAAAUCAAAUUUCUAGAUUUAAAAUAUAUAUUGCCCAACAAAAAGAUUUAUAAUAUAUUAUCUUCGUAUGUGUAUAUCUAUGCAUAUUGACAUAUUUUGGUAUAAAUACAUGAACUUAAACGUAGAUUAAGAUUUUUGUUUCAGGAUAUAGAUAGGCAACAUGUAGAUAAUCUUGGUGAUCUCCCCAAGCAUAAGACCCAUACCUGACAAAAAUGUAAAUUUAUUUCAUAACCAUAAAAACCACAAAAGAAAAACAUUGUUAUAAGUUGGGAAUAUACGCUAGUGUGAAUUAAAUGUUUGAAUUGUGUCUCUGCCCGGCCUCUUUGUGCCCUCAACGUUCACAGAUGGAUUUACAUUUUUUUCAACACAUAUUUUCAAGAGAUAUAUAUACAAAGGAUGCUAUUGUCAUUUUAUUCUGUCCGACAUAAGUCGGUAAAACAAAAACUUUGGUCUGACUUACUUCUACAGGUUUUGACUGGUCUUAACUCUCAAGUAUAUUGUUUUAUAAGCUUAUUUAGGAAAAUAAUCAUUUAUAUUAGAGUAUUUUGAAGAUAUUUGGAGCAAGCAACCAAAAUGACAAUUAAAAUCCAUAAUCGGUCGAUAUUAGAGAGCUAGAUUAAUCGAUACACAAGUUAUGGUGUCGAUCGAUAGCGAAGCGCGCAGAAGCCCGUUUGGUCACAGCCGACUUGAAGCCUAAGAUUUCACAAUUUUACAAGAUUGCUCCUGACAAAUUUUACCCUAAUUAUAUAAGCUUUGCCGCCAUGUUAGAGGUAAAGUGUGCUUUUGUUUUGUGUUCUUCUUUGUGUUUUAUUGUUUACUGAUAGAUAGGAGAGAAGAUCCAAAAUUAUAAUUUGUGAUUGAAACUCCAUUGAUAUUUAUCUUAUCUAUUCUAUGCAGUUUUUAUAUCUAACCAUUGUUAUGAAUUGUUUAGCUAUGUCUGAGUAGUUCUCUUGUUAUAUUUUAGAGUUUAAAUAGGUUAGGAGGGAUUAGCCCCAACUAUAGAUUGCUGAGUUGUGAUAAUCAUCAUUAGAAUUGUUCAUUAAUGUAUGUCUCUAGAUUAACUACCUAGAACUUGUCAUAGGAUUGAUUGAUAAAAGCCAUAGCUAAUUCUCAUCUUAUAAACAUUCUAAUUGAACUUCGUUUCUUACAAUGAGCAAGGCGAGAGCUGAUCUAGUAAGCUUAGUAAACAUUUAUUCAACAUGCGUAUAAAGCUUGACAUACCAUUCGAUUGUGGUAUUGUUGGCACAUUAAGUUAAUUAGUGUGUGCUUAAACUCUUAAUCAGGUUUGAUUCCUUUCACAUACAAUUUUUAAAUAAAAUUUAAAACGACAUUGUUUAGACUUAACAAAGAUUAGAGACGGCGAUUAAUCCGUCUAAUCAAUCAGUUACCUAAGUUAACGUCAACUUUAAUUUAGUUUAGUCAAAUUAAUUUGAGGUUUAAAGUGAUAAUUCAAGUUAAGUUGGUGUUUUAAAUAGUUCAAGAAAAAAUUUAUGCAUUUCUUUAACCAAAUAUGAAAAUCGGUGGUUUAAAUGACCAUUUUCCCAAACUUAUUUAGAUUAAGUUGAUGUAUUAUUUCCUCGUGUAGCUAAUCACGUAACAGUUCAGCAAUGGCACGUAUUAACAAUUUCGGAUUCGACAAAAAAUGCAUAAUUCUAAAUAUCGUUUAACAACCCCACGUCACUCCCUCAAGCCACUCCGAGUCUCCAUCCACUAGUUAAAUCUAAUCUUAUCAAUUAGUCAGAUUUUAGUUAUAUUUUGGAUUGUGGGUCAACUUGCAUGAGAAAUAGCUCCAGUAUAUUUGAAUAUGAGUUUAUUUAUUAAUUUUUAUCCCUAAUCAAGUAGGCUCAACAAUUUUGAUAUCCCAACAAAACAAAUGGCAAUAACUCAGCUACCUUACUUGCUGCUUAUUAAGAGCAUCUCCAACCCAUUUCUAUAAUAGAGAUCUCUAAAAUAGAAAAAAAAAUAGAAAUGGUGUUUUUGCUCCAAUGUGUUCUUCUAUAAUAGAGGAAUGCUAUAUUUGCCUCCAUAAAUAGAAGAAUGCUAUUUUUUCUCCUAAAUAUAGAGGAAAAAAUUGGAUUCCUCUAUUUAUGGAGGCAAAUAUAGCAUUCCUCUAUUAUAGAAGAACACAUUGGAGCAAAAACACCAUCUUUAUUUUUUUCUCUAUUUUAGAAAUCUCUAUUAUAGAGGUGGGUUGGAGAUGGUCUAAGUACUUCAUUUUUCACUUUUAGGCUCCGAAUGGUGAUUGCGGUUUGAGCGGUGCGGGACAAGCGGUUCAAUUGCGGUGCAGUUUUAACAGUUAUAAGAACGUAUAGAUAUAUGAUAUAUGUAGAGAUUUUUGUUAAUAUUAAAUACGGUGCAAGGCGGAGCGGUUGUAAACAUUCGAAGCAUAUGCAUUAUUUUUUACUUCAUUGGUAUUUUUUUAUUCAUUUCUUCAUUUCUUUGUUUUUUGAAAAUACAUUUUUUAAUUACAAAUUGGUCUCUCAACUUUAACUUGUUUUUAGUUUUUACUUAAAUAAACUAUAAAAACUAAUAUUACCAACUUACUUUUAAAGUUUUUAUUAUUAUUUUUAUUCAAUCAAUUUAAAAUAUUAAAUAUACUAGAAACAUGUUUUUUUAACUAAUAUUUAGAUGAAAAACAGUUACAUAAAUAAUAUAGAAACUCAAAGACUUGAUAAACAUCAAUCUAAAAUAUAUAAAAAAAACUUAGUACAUCAUAAACUAACACUUAAUAAUCUGGUAAAUUAUUUUCAGAUUCACUAAAAUUGUUAAAAUAUUGUCCAAAUAAAGUGGUUGCUUGAGAAGGCUGUUGAGCUUGUUGUUGUUAACUCAUUUCUAUUAAAAUUCGAUUUUGGUCAGACUGAAUGUAUGCACGAACGUUAGGAUCUUAUAUGGAGUUCAAAUCACGAAAUAAAAUUUUGUUUUCUUCUUUUAACUUCUUCAAAGCAUAAUUCUUGUUUUGAAUCUCCAAAUAUUGUUAUCUUUGUGCGAUUGUUUUCUUUAAUUUCUCCAAUAGUUUUUUAUUUCCUUCUUCCUAGGUGUUAAUAACAAGCGAUACUAUUAGAGAUGUGUACUAAUUAUAUUGUAUGAUAAUGUUUAUUUAAUAUUAAUUAGCAAUUGUGGUGAAAUAUUGUUAAAAUAAAAUAUCUAGGUAAAAUUAGUAAACUAGUAAAAGUAAAAGAUUUUUUGAUAAAUAAUGAUAAAACAGAAAAUAUAUACUUGGAAUAUUCCUUUUUGAAGAAAAAAAUAAAGCAAACCAUUGGAGAACAUGCUUCUUCAUGUUUUGAAAAUCUUCAUAUUUUGAAAAAAAAAAUGAAGUUUACUAUUGGAAAUGCUCUAAGACCAUGAUUAAUCCGGAUUCUUAAGGUGCGGUUUUUAGUUUAGUUUUUAAUUAAGAAAAUCUAAGAACCGUUUCUUAAAGAAGAGAUAUAAGAAUCGGAUCCUAGCCAAAAAAUAU